GCCACGGGGGAGUGGCUGCAGUUUUUCCAGGACGCCGGGAUCCCGCCCGGCCCCGCCCUGGGAUACGCCGUCGCUUUUGUGGACAACAGGAUCCACAAGGACAUGCUGCUGGAGCUGACGCGGGAGCUGAUGAGGGAGUUGGGCAUCACCGUGGUGGGCGACGUCAUCGCCAUCCUGCGCCACGCCCGCCUCGUCCACAGCCAGGAGCUGUGCCGGGCGGCCUCCCGGGAGCUGCAGCCGCCGCCGGAACCUCCCCCGGACAGGGAGAGAGGGGGGGACUCGGGUGAGUGACGGACCCUGGAGCCAGCCCAGAGAC
Long non-coding RNA from Corapipo altera (White-ruffed manakin), 316 nucleotides. RefSeq lists it as uncharacterized. The transcript is spliced from 3 exons. The record is from RefSeq and is a predicted model, not a curated record. NCBI's taxonomy places the organism in Eukaryota, Metazoa, Chordata, Aves, Passeriformes, Pipridae.